This 497-nucleotide ribosomal RNA is filed under the name uncultured bacterium. RNAcentral's name for it is "partial 16S ribosomal RNA". It matches the Rfam family "Bacterial small subunit ribosomal RNA", at positions 28 to 507 of the family's 1533-position model. The record is from RNAcentral.
GAUGAACGCUGGCGGCGUGCCUAAUACAUGCAAGUCGAGCGAACAGACGAGGAGCUUGCUCCUCUGACGUUAGCGGCGGACGGGUGAGUAACACGUGGAUAACCUACCUAUAAGACUGGGAUAACUUCGGGAAACCGGAGCUAAUACCGGAUAAUAUAUUGAACCGCAUGGUUCAAUAGUGAGAGACGGUUUUGCUGUCACUUAUAGAUGGAUCCGCGCCGCAUUAGCUAGUUGGUAAGGUACCGGCUUACCAAGGCAACGAUGCGUAGCCGACCUGAGAGGGUGAUCGGCCACACUGGAACUGAGACACGGUCCAGACUCCUACGGGAGGCAGCAGUAGGGAAUCUUCCGCAAUGGGCGAAAGCCUGACGGAGCAACGCCGCGUGAGUGAUGAAGGUCUUCGGAUCGUAAAACUCUGUUAUUAGGUGAGAACAAAUGUGUAAGUAACUAUGCACGUCUUGACGGUACCUAAUCAGAAAGCCACGGCUAACUACGUG